CCAGCUUCCGUGCGAUGAGGUUCCCACUGCCAAUGCACCAGAGAUGUUGCAGUGUAAGCAUGCAGAAGCGAAACACAGAGAUUUGGACACAAGUCUUCAGGAAGUAAGAGGCCUUUAUUCACAUUACCGAUCGGGUCUCAGAUGAACUCCUGUUCCAACAUUCUGAGAGACCAACACAUUGCCACAACUCCAAUGUACAGGAGUGUACAUUCCUUAUAUAGCACUAUAACUCCUCCCAUUAAUAGCUACACCCACAUAUACCUUUAACCAAUCAAUGAGCAGAAUAUAGACUUGUACAUCUAGUCAAACCACAUGGCUCAUCCAAGACAAAGGAAAUAAGUGCAAUUUCAGUUCCUGCAUUCCUGCACAUGCUCAGUACACUGAUGACAGUAUCCUAGCUACGUGUAGCUAACUAACUGACACAACAUACACAUAUGCCACAUGGAGAUUUUGGCCUACUAAAUUUUGACCAUGCUGGAAUCCCAUCACAUUACCAGUGAUUUAUAAAGAGGCAAAAUGAUAUUCUUGUCCCGAGAAUGAAUGCCCUUUUUAAUACAUGACAAUACCUUACUGGCCUUGGCCACUGCUGAUUGACAUUGCACAUUGUUGCAUAGUUUGUUGUCUAUAACAAUCCCCAAGUCCUUUUCGUGUUGUUAUCCCUAAUUCGCUUCCAUUAAGGGUAUACGUUGCUUGUGCAUUCUUUACGCCGAAGUGCAUAACUUUGCAUAUUUCAACAUUAAAUUUCAUCUGCCAUUUGAGUGCCCAGCCCCCCAGUCUAUCUAAAUCCCUCUGCAGCAAAGUAAUAUCUUGCUCACAUUACAGACAACACAAAACUGUUAAGUAAUACAAACACUGAAACAUGACUUUCAAUGCUUUUUUUCAAGGACAGGCUCCGGACCACGUCUUUGUGUAGUUCAUCCUCUUCUCCGAUCUUUGGCUGGAGGGUAGCUGCCUCAUUGCGCACGUGGUCGCCUUCCAUGAGGGCAGCGGUCAGUUCCGCUUUUUUACGAUGACCAGGGGUUAUCCCUCUGGCUUCACACAAAUCUUGUAACGUUGGACGUUUCAGGGACGUAUAGUCCAUGAGUCUGUUCGGCUGGGACGUGGGAUCCCAUCAUUUGCCACUAGUUGUAGCGGGUCCUGGAACUCGACUGGUUACCCCCGCUAUUAAUGAAGUAAAAGACCCAUUUUUCCCAGUAACUGGAUGACACCCAGUUCCAGGAUACAACAACAGCUUUAUUGGCCACACUUGACUUUAUACCUUUCCCCAUACAAGGGGUGGUUCACUCAUACAAUGUCCUCCCCUUCCCUCGGGUCAUAUAACAGAACCGGACCCCAGUCCUUUGUUCCCGCCACUCAGUGUCCCCUCCCACGGCCCUGCCCCUCCCAGGGGCCCUUGCAUGUGACAGGAACUCCAGUCCCUUUGUCCCCAGUUCCCGCCACCCAAAUACUUCCAGUGGCAGUGGGGUCUUCUUCCAAAGACCCUCUUUACCUGGGAGUCCCAGCGCAGGAAAGACUCCCACCUCCUGGGCUCUCAGGCGCAGAAACCCGCCAUACCGCCAUUGUCCCCAAAGAGUGAUCCCAUCAAUCCUAGGACCCUCAGAACAGCAACCGUCCCGAACCCUCUCUGUUCGUGGGAUCCCUGGGUGAAACCAGGCAAGGGAAGCAUCUCCUUUCAGGACAUGAACGAUCCCACUGGCCGGCGUUCUUCUGUACAAAUGGUGUUCACCCAGGCAAGCGCUUAUUAAUUACUUCCCUUGCAGUUUCACACUUAUGUUGCAAGUUGCCAACGUUCUAAUGGAUUGGUGUGAAUGAGGACUGGGGAGGUCCUCGUUCAGGAGCCGAACGAGGUGGGAAGCAAUCCGCGAAUGCUCCCCUGAACGGCUUUCGUAUAACGAACGGGCCACAACCCAGGGUCGGCACGCACCGAGGCGUCACUUUCUGUUUGUGGUUUUCACACCUCGUUAAUGGGUAUCUAAAUGGGGUAUCGAGGUGGUCCUCAUUCGGGAGGCGAACAGAACCUGUUCAUAUGGGGCCUCUCGAUUGGGGAGUAGGUAAAAUACAAGAAUACAGCACACUAUAGGGGAGAAAUACGGGGAAUGACACAUAGCAAUUUACGAACAGGCAGCGGUCCCGCCACAAAAACGCCAUGUCAUCUUGUUUUUGCAAUCCAGCAAGACACUGAUCCCAAGCAUACCUCAAUUCCACCAAGUUUUGGAAGUCCUGGAAAAUUCUAGAGUGGCAAAUUCUACAGUCACCUAACUUGAACUCCAUAGAAAAUCUCUGGUGGGAUUUGAAGAAGGUGGUUGCAGCACCUAAUCCCUAGAAUAGUACUGAGCUGGAGGCUAUUGGUCAUGAAAAAUGAGCUAAGGUUCCUCAGCAGCGCUGCCAGAAGCUGGUGUCUGGCUAUGCAUCUCAUUUGCAGCAGGUCAUAACAGCAAAAAGGGUCUACUAAGUACUAAAUAUGCUGGCAAUGAAUGGGGUUGACUAAUUUUGAGACUGGAGAAGUCAUUAUAAGUUGUAUUUGUUGUGUUGAGCUAUUUUAAUUACUUUUGUUUGAUUUGUUCAUUGCAAACGGCUCAAAGUCUGUAAAUGUCGACAAUAAACCUGAUUUUCAAUGGGAGUUGAAUAAUUAUGAUCACAACUGUAGGUAGAUAUGAAUAAGUGUCUUGUCCAAGGACACUUACUGGUGUGGUGGUUUCCAACCCAGGGUUUGAGGCAGUGACCAUAUUUUAGGGAUAUGUGUACCGCUGGAAUUAUGUCUUCUUACUAGGAGUAAGUACCAUCACAGAGGGUUUUUUAAUGUUGACCUUUAUGAUUCACACAAAGCACUUUAUAACCCUCUUCAAAACAGAUGUCCUGCUGUCCUGAAAGGGUUACUCUUACUUAGGGACGUCUUUAACGCGGGCCAAAUGGGGCCUGCUGGGGGGCCCAAGUUUGCCCUCUGUCCGCAAACUAUGGGGGCCCAUCGGGUGGCCCAUGCACUUAGGGCCACCCGGUGGGCCUGUGUCAGCAAAUGCCCGGACGGGUGCUGUGGCGCUUUAACAGCGCGACCGGGCCCUUGCUUUUCGUCAGCAUUGGGAGGAAGUGACAGCCAUGCGUCACUUCCUCCCACAGAAACAGGAGCCGUGCGGGAGGAAGGAGCUGUUCCGGAGGGGGGCCAGGCCGGGAGAGAUCGAGAGCUUAACUCCAAGCCACCUCAGCCAGCCCACUGGACCCAAGGGAAGCCACCCUCCAGGAAAAGGUAAGAAACUGGAGGGUGGUUAUCAAAUUUUGCACGAGUGUCUGAGUGUGUGUGUGUAUGUCUGUCUGUCAGUGUAUGUCUGUUAGUGUGCCAGUAUGUCUGUCAGUGUAUCUGUAUGUCUGUGUGUGUGUGAGAGUCUGUCAGUGUCUGCGUGGUUCAGUAUGUCUUUGUGUAUGUGUGUUUCAGUAUGGCUGUCUGUGUGUGAGUCUGUAUCAGUAUGUCUGUCGGAAUGUGUCUCUGUAUCUGUAUGUUGUCCAUUUGUGUUUGUGUGUGUGUGUAUCUGUAUGUGUCAGUCUUUGUAUCUGUAUAUCUGCAUGUUUGUCAGGUUGUGUAUCUGUGUGCCUGUAUGUGUGUCAGUGUGUGUGUCGGUGUAUCUAUAUUUAGUCAGUGUGUGUACCUUUGUAUCUGCAUGUAUGUCAGUGUUUGUAUCUGUAUGUGUCAGUGUAUCUAUAUGUAGUCUGUGUGCAUCUGUAUGUUCUUGUGUGUAUCCAUAUGUGGUCAGUGUGUAUCUGCAUGUGUGUCAGGUAGUGUAUUUGUGUGUAUCUAUAUGUAGUCAGGGGGCCCAAGUAAAUGCUUGCCCAGGGUCCAAUCAAAAUGAAACACGGCCCUGCUCUUACUUUGUUGUAACAUUUAAGUGGUUCAGUGUAUAUAGUGAUCCCUAAUAUGCAUGUGGCCAGGACAAAGAAAGAGUUGUUUUUCCUCCCUCUCAGGAUAAUAAAUGUGCUCUUUUUAAACGGCCUUUUCGGGGCGCCCCCUGCAGUGAUGCGGCAGGAGUCCAGGUGUCGUACCGUGCCAUCAUGAAGCAGGUGAAUGGAUCCAGCAGUGGAAGGCUAUGGGAUGAUCAGCAGAAAUCUCCAUUCUACAAUUACAAGGUUUGUACCAUGUCUCUGCGAGCCACGUUGGGAUACGCACGGAACAUGAGAUGCUGCUCAUUUUAAUAAAGGUUAAUGUAUUAUCUUCACUCUGCUCCUUUAAUGUUUCUGUAGGAUAAAUCUGGCAGUGUCCACCAGGUCUGGUACGAUGACCCUGAGAGCAUUUCUCUGAAAGUGGCUUAUGUAAAGACGCGUGGUCUGAGAGGCGUGGGCAUGUGGAAUGGUGACCUUCUGGAUUAUUCUUCGGAUCCUAGUGCUCAGGAACAAACUGCAGCCAUGUGGAAAGCGCUGCUUCCUUGACCCUUCGAUGACCAUCUCCCACCAGCUCUGUAAUUUGGCUGUCUGAGAGGCGGAUUAAAUAAACCUUCUUACAGUGUCUUUCAUUAUCAAUAGUUGAAUAUGAAUAAAAAUGCAACUUUAUUCACUAUUAUUAGGUCGUGGAAUACCAUUUGUGAACUUCUUGGUAUUUUAAAGUGAUUUGCUGAAAGUACCAUAACCAACACAGCUCGG
This 4623-nucleotide long non-coding RNA is filed under the name Pelobates cultripes (western spadefoot toad). Lineage: Eukaryota; Metazoa; Chordata; Amphibia; Anura; Pelobatidae. The record is from RNAcentral.